Molecule: small nucleolar RNA, 132 nt
Organism: Meriones unguiculatus (Mongolian gerbil)
Lineage: Eukaryota; Metazoa; Chordata; Mammalia; Rodentia; Muridae
Source: Ensembl
CCUGCCCAUAGAGGGAUUGCAGGCGUGGCUACUGUGUCAUAUGUAUGUUAGUAGGUGACAGAGGAGAGAGAGGCUUUGUCUACUCUCAGUGUAUUGACCUGUAAACAUCUGAAUGAUUAGUAGCCUCAUAUU